This 407-nucleotide ribosomal RNA is filed under the name uncultured bacterium. RNAcentral describes it as "partial 16S ribosomal RNA". It matches the Rfam family "Bacterial small subunit ribosomal RNA", at positions 28 to 526 of the family's 1533-position model. The record is from RNAcentral.
GACGAACGCUGGCGGCGUGCCUAAUACAUGCAAGUAGAACGCAGUUGCGAACGGGUGAGUAACGCGUAGGUAACUGCCUCAUCACGGGGGAUAACUAUUGGAAACGAUAGCUAAUACCGCAUACUGUGAGAUGGACCUGCGUUGUAUUAGCUAGUUGGUGAGGUAAAGGCUCACAAAGGCGCCGAUACAUAGCCGACCUGAGAGGGGGGUCGGCCCAACUGGGAAUUGAGAAACGCCCAGAAGUCCAAGGGAGGCAGCAGUAGGGAAACUUUGGCAAUGGAGGGAAGGCUGAACGAGCAAAGGCGCGUGAGUGAAGAAGGUUUUCGGAUCGGAAAGCUAUGUUGUUAGAGAAGCGGUAACUAAACAGAAAGGGACGGCUAACUACGUGCCAGCAGCCGCGGUAAUAC